UUAUUAUUAUGUAUUAUUGAAAGAUAACUUCGAGAUGCGUUCAACCAUUUCUUCUUCUCCUUCACGUUACCUUAGCACCUCAGCCCGUGAGUUUCCCUCCACCGAAGUUCCGCCGCACGCCGUUUGCUCCUCCUGUCGUUUCGUCUUCCGUCGCUAACCCAGACGAAGGCAAGCCGCGUUCCCCGUCGUCUUCCGCCCGAGACAAAACCUCCAGCAGUUUCUCCAUGUCCUGCGCCGCCUCUCCAUUCCAAGCUCCUCCUCCUCUGUUCCCCGCCGCCGCCGGUCUUCUUCCGCGUUUCCCCUCCGACCGAACCCCUGUGGCCUUUCCGCUUCAAGCCGCGCGCGAUUCCUUCUUCUCUCCUAGCCGCGUGUGAGCUUCCAUCCAACCAAGCGGAGUCGCGUGCAAGCCAAGCUAUCUUUUGCCUUUUGCCUAGCCGAGCCGUACAGUGUCCUAUGAGAUCACCACAUAUUGUGCUUGUGUUCCUACAAGACCACUCGACUAUUUAUGUGUUCCUACGGGAUCACUAAACUGAUUAUGUGCAUCCUAUGGGAUCACUAAACUGAUUGACGUGUAUUCUACAGUAUCACUAGAUUAAUUGACAUGCAUCCUAUAUGAUCAAAAGACUGUUAUGAUGUAAGGCAAAGGUAAUACGAGAGUCUGACCAGUGAGGGACAAGAAUAACUCAUGAACACCAAACAUGAACCUUUCAAAUGCUUUCAUUUAACACUUUACUUAUUUUCAAGUUGUGGUGGUUGCAUUGAGUUUUAUGUUUAGAACUACCGUCUGUUUUAUUUUGACUUAAAACACUAAUACUUUUAUAUUUUUAUGUUUAUUUGCAAUAGGGUAUGAACAAAAUUUUCUUUGAUGUUCAUGUUUUGAACAAAUUUUAUAAUCCUUUGUAUUUUAACCAUUUGUUUUGAUCUCUUACGAAUGGAAGUAUAUCUUCGAUUUGAUUUGGUUUGAA
Long non-coding RNA from Cucumis sativus (cucumber), 965 nucleotides. RefSeq lists it as uncharacterized. The transcript is spliced from 3 exons. NCBI's taxonomy places the organism in Eukaryota, Viridiplantae, Streptophyta, Magnoliopsida, Cucurbitales, Cucurbitaceae. The record is from RefSeq and is a predicted model, not a curated record.